GAUGAAGAACGUAGCGAAAUGCGAUACGGAGUGUGAAUUGCAGAAUUCAGUGAAUCAUCGAAUCUUUGAACGCACAUUGCACCUCUCGGUAUUCCGGGAGGUAUGCCUGUUCGAGCGUCAUUUGUACCCUCAAGCUCUGCUUGGUGUUGGGUGUUUGUUCCGCCUCUGUGUGUGAACUCGCCUCAAAACAAUUGGCAGCCGGCGUACUUGUUUCGGAGCGCAGCACAUUUUGCGAUCCAGAUCAACGUACAGCGGCAUCCAAGAAGCCUUAUUUAACGCUCUUGACCUCGGAUCAGGUAGGGAUACCCGCUGAACUUAAGCAUAUCAAUAAGCGGAGGA
Molecule: unclassified non-coding RNA, 339 nt
Filed under: soil metagenome
Description: partial contains 5.8S ribosomal RNA, internal transcribed spacer 2, and large subunit ribosomal RNA
Rfam family: 5.8S ribosomal RNA (bases 1-120)
Source: RNAcentral